CCUACGGGUGGCUGCAGUGGGGAAUAUUGGACAAUGGGGGCAACCCUGAUCCAGCCAUGCCGCGUGUGUGAAGAAGGCCCUCGGGUUGUAAAGCACUUUCAGUGAGGAAGAACGCCUGGUGGUUAAUACCCAUCAGGAAAGACAUCACUCACAGAAGAAGCACCGGCUAACUCCGUGCCAGCAGCCGCGGUAAUACGGAGGGUGCGAGCGUUAAUCGGAAUUACUGGGCGUAAAGCGCGCGUAGGUGGCUUGAUAAGCCGGUUGUGAAAGCCCCGGGCUCAACCUGGGAACGGCAUCCGGAGCUGUCAAGCUAGAGUGCAGGAGAGGAAGGUAGAAUUCCCGGUGUAGCGGUGAAAUGCGUAGAGAGCGGGAGGAAUACCAGUGGUGAAGGCGGCAUUCUGGACUGACACUGACACUGAGGUGCGACAGCGUGGGUAGCAAUCAGGAUUAGAUACCCCUGUAGUC
This 465-nucleotide ribosomal RNA is filed under the name Vreelandella stevensii. RNAcentral describes it as "partial 16S ribosomal RNA". It matches the Rfam family "Bacterial small subunit ribosomal RNA", at positions 338 to 795 of the family's 1533-position model. Lineage: Bacteria; Pseudomonadati; Pseudomonadota; Gammaproteobacteria; Oceanospirillales; Halomonadaceae. The record is from RNAcentral.